This 277-nucleotide ribosomal RNA is filed under the name uncultured bacterium. RNAcentral's name for it is "partial 16S ribosomal RNA". It matches the Rfam family "Bacterial small subunit ribosomal RNA", at positions 30 to 305 of the family's 1533-position model. The record is from RNAcentral.
AUUGAACGCUGGCGGCGUGCCUAACACAUGCAAGUCGAGCGGUAACAGGUGUAGCAAUACAUGCUGACGAGCGGCGAACGGGUGAGUAAUGCUUUGGAAUCUUCCCAGUAGUGGGGAAUAACCAGUCGAAAGAUUGGCUAAUACCGCAUACGUCUGUAAAGGGAAAGCGGGGGCUCGUAAGACCUCGCGCUAUUGGAUGAGCCAAAGUCGGAUUAGCUUGUUGGUGGGGUAAUGGCCUACCAAGGCGACAAUCCGUAGCUGGUCUGAGAGGACGACC